GAUGAACGCUGGCGGCGUGCCUAAUACAUGCAAGUCGAGCGAACAGAUGAGGAGCUUGCUCCUCUGACGUUAGCGGCGGGCGGGUGAGUAACACGUGGAUAACCUACCUAUAAGACUGGGAUAACUUCGGGAAACCGGAGCUAAUACCGGAUAAUAUAUUGAACCGCAUGGUUCAAUAGUGAAAGACGGUUUUGCUGUCACUUAUAGAUGGAUCCGCGCCGCAUUAGCUAGUUGGUAAGGUAACGGCUUACCAAGGCAACGAUGCGUAGCCGACCUGAGAGGGUGAUCGGCCACACUGGAACUGAGACACGGUCCAGACUCCUACGGGAGGCAGCAGUAGGGAAUCUUCCGCAAUGGGCGAAAGCCUGACGGAGCAACGCCGCGUGAGUGAUGAAGGUCUUCGGAUCGUAAAACUCUGUUAUUAGGGAAGAACAAAUGUGUAAGUAACUAUGCACGUCUUGACGGUACCUAAUCAGAAAGCCACGGCUAACUACGUC
Molecule: ribosomal RNA, 497 nt
Filed under: uncultured bacterium
Lineage: Bacteria
Description: partial 16S ribosomal RNA
Rfam family: Bacterial small subunit ribosomal RNA
Source: RNAcentral